CGGCAGGCCUUAUACAUGCAAGUCGAACGGUAACAUUGGUGCUUGCACCAGAUGACGAGUGGCGCACGGGUGCGUAACGCGUAUGCAACCUACCUUUUACUAGAGUAUAGCCCAGAGAAAUUUGGAUUAAUCCUCUAUAAUAUCAUUUGAUUUCAUGAUUAAUUGAUUAAAGUUUUAACGGUAAAAGAUGGGCAUGCGUCCUAUUAGUUUGUAGGUGAGGUAACGGCUCACCUAGACUACGAUAGGUAGGGGCCCUGAGAGGGGGAUCCCCCACACUGGUACUGAGACACGGACCAGACUCCUACGGGAGGCAGCAGUAAGGAAUAUUGGACAAUGGACGAAAGUCUGAUCCAGCCAUGCCGCGUGCAGGAUGAAAGCCCUAUGGGUUGUAAACUGCUUUUAUACAGGAAGAAACACUCCGACGUGUCGGAGCUUGACGGUACUGUAAGAAUAAGGAUCGG
This 461-nucleotide ribosomal RNA is filed under the name uncultured Flavobacteriaceae bacterium. RNAcentral describes it as "bacterial SSU rRNA". It matches the Rfam family "Bacterial small subunit ribosomal RNA", at positions 40 to 496 of the family's 1533-position model. The record is from RNAcentral. Lineage: Bacteria; Pseudomonadati; Bacteroidota; Flavobacteriia; Flavobacteriales; Flavobacteriaceae.